RNAcentral lists this ribosomal RNA (464 nucleotides) under Vreelandella stevensii. Its description in RNAcentral is "partial 16S ribosomal RNA". It matches the Rfam family "Bacterial small subunit ribosomal RNA", at positions 338 to 795 of the family's 1533-position model. The record is from RNAcentral. Lineage: Bacteria; Pseudomonadati; Pseudomonadota; Gammaproteobacteria; Oceanospirillales; Halomonadaceae.
CCUACGGGGGCAGCAGUGGGGAAUAUUGGACAAUGGGGGGAACCCUGAUCCAGCCAUGCCGCGUGUGUGAAGAAGGCCCUCGGGUUGUAAAGCACUUUCAGUGAGGAAGAACGCCUGGUGGUUAAUACCCAUCAGGAAAGACAUCACUCACAGAAGAAGCACCGGCUAACUCCGUGCCAGCAGCCGCGGUAAUACGGAGGGUGCGAGCGUUAAUCGGAAUUACUGGGCGUAAAGCGCGCGUAGGUGGCUUGAUAAGCCGGUUGUGAAAGCCCCGGGCUCAACCUGGGAACGGCAUCCGGAACUGUCAAGCUAGAGUGCAGGAGAGGAAGGUAGAAUUCCCGGUGUAGCGGUGAAAUGCGUAGAGAUCGGGAGGAAUACCAGUGGCGAAGGCGGCCUUCUGGACUGACACUGACACUGAGGUGCGAAAGCGUGGGUAGCAAACAGGAUUAGAUACCCCGGUAGUC